CAGCAGCCGCGGUAAUACGUAGGGUGCGAGCGUUAAUCGGAAUUACUGGGCGUAAAGCGUGCGCAGGCGGCUUUGCAAGACAGAGGUGAAAUCCCCGGGCUCAACCUGGGAACUGCCUUUGUGACUGCAAGGCUAGAGUACGGCAGAGGGGGAUGGAAUUCCGCGUGUAGCAGUGAAAUGCGUAGAUAUGCGGAGGAACACCGAUGGCGAAGGCAAUCCCCUGGGCCUGUACUGACGCUCAUGCACGAAAGCGUGGGGAGCAAACAGGAUUAGAUACCCUGGUAGUCCACGCCCUAAACGAUGUCAACUGGUUGUUGGACGGCUUGCUGUUCAGUAACGAAGCUAACGCGUGAAGUUGACCGCCUGGGGAGUACGGCCGCAAGGUUGAAACUCAAAGAAAUUGACGG
Molecule: ribosomal RNA, 407 nt
Filed under: uncultured rumen bacterium
Lineage: Bacteria
Description: bacterial SSU rRNA
Rfam family: Bacterial small subunit ribosomal RNA
Source: RNAcentral